CUUUGCACAAUAAUGAUCAUCUCAAUACAAUCAUCAGUGAAGGAUUAAAUUACGGUUAUAAGGGGACAUUUCCCCUCAACAGACAUGCUCAGCUAGAACCUGAAGAUGGAGGCAAUCAAUAUAAAGUGCACCAACACACAAGACACCUACCAGAAGAAGGACCGCCAGCUGUAAUUGUAUUAGAUCAUUUCUAUCAAGGUUUCCCUGUAGCCACACUUAUUUUGCAGUUUUAUUUCUUUUGCACAGACUUCUAUGAGGACAACAUAGAACAUACAGUGAUGGAAAAAGUCAAGUUUGGCCCGAGUGUGACAGACGUCACCUCCGCCAGUCAACAUCAUACAUCAUAUGCAGCCGUCGUAAACUGAAGACCUCCCUGAAGAUGCAUCACACUCUGCAGUCGAGUACAAAAAAAAAAAAUCUGUGUGCCAUAAGUGACCAUCAGGUGGGCUGAUAGCCAUCUCUACGACAGAAGCCGAGAUGAGCACGAUUAGACAAAUCGGGGAGACGUACUUCCACAAGUAGAAGUAGAUCACAUAAGGGCGGAAACCCAACAUGUCCUCCAAAUCUUGCAUGAAUCUGUCGGCAACAGAGGAGCAGAAACAUUAAACGUGCCAUAAAUCCAAGCCACCGACACAUUUUCCAGGAUGACCACCACCGUCAGGGGCAGGCCGGCGGAAUAGUCGUCGAACAUGGUGACAAAGUAAUUCCCUGAGCGCUGAACAAACAGGAGGCCGCACAGGAAAGCCACAAUGCAGCAACACACUGAGGAAGUGGGAGAAAAAAAAUGGUUGGUGUCAAGGACAGGUGUGGUGAUGCCAGUCAUGGUACCGAUCAUGCUGCCCAGUCCGAGGUUGAUGAGCAUGAAGAAGAACAUGACGGACCAGAACGGUGAAGCGGGGAAGUGUGUCAUGGCUUCUGUGAAGGCGA
This is a long non-coding RNA of Syngnathoides biaculeatus (alligator pipefish), 927 nucleotides long. RefSeq lists it as uncharacterized. Lineage: Eukaryota; Metazoa; Chordata; Actinopteri; Syngnathiformes; Syngnathidae. The transcript is spliced from 6 exons. The record is from RefSeq and is a predicted model, not a curated record.